GGUUUUUCCCGUUUCUCGUUUCUAUGGCGAUGGAAGUUGAAGACGGUGGCGGUGGCGCGAUUGAGGCCGGUGACGGUGGAGGCGACAAGGUUGGCGACGGCGGCGGCGCGGAUCCGGUUCGCGGCAGCGGCGGCGGCGCGGAUCCAAUCUGCGGCGACGGCGGUGGCGCGGACCAGCUCCGCGGCAACGGCGGCGGCUCGAACGCGGCCCGUGGCGACGGCGGCGGCGCGGAUCCAGUCCGCGGCGGCGCCGGCGGCUCGGACGCUGCCCGUGGCGACGGCGGCGGCGCGGAUCCAGUCCGCGGCGGCGCCGGCGGCUCGGACGCUGCCCGUGGCGACGGCGGUGGCGCGGAUCCUGUCCGCGGCGGCGCCGGCGGCUCGGACGCUGCCUGUGGCGUCUGCGGCGGCGCGGAUCCAGUCCGCAGCGGCGGCAGCGGCUCGGUCGCGGCCCGUGGUGACGGCGGCGUCGCCGAUCCAGUCUGUAGCGGCGGCGAUGGUGUGGACGCGGCCUGCGGCGACAGUGGCGGCGCGAGGGCUGUCUCCCACGUCGUUGCUUCCAGUUGCUUUCAGUUGUGUCGUUGUUUCAUGGUGCAGGCCAUCUCUUUC
Molecule: long non-coding RNA, 605 nt
Filed under: Oryza sativa (Asian cultivated rice)
Lineage: Eukaryota; Viridiplantae; Streptophyta; Magnoliopsida; Poales; Poaceae
Description: long non-coding RNA (OSAT_LNC001550)
Source: RNAcentral